GGCGGAGACCACAAUUCCCGGCAUUCGUGGGGCGGGGAGGAGUCGGCCUCCCGGAAUCCUGGUCCCGGCGUGCACUUCUGAAGGACUUCAGGCACCCUUUCUUGGGCCGCGAGGUCCCUAUCUCGAACGGCUCAGGAUUCGUGGUGGCUGCCGAUGGGCUCAUUGUCACCAACGCCCAUGUGGUGGCUGAUCGGCGCAGAGUCCGUGUGAGACUGCUAAGCGGCGACACGUAUGAGGCCGUGGUCACAGCUGUGGAUCCCGUGGCAGACAUCGCAACGCUGAGGAUUCAGACUAAGGAGCCUCUCCCCACGCUGCCUCUGGGACGCUCAGCUGAUGUCCGGCAAGGGGAGUUUGUUGUUGCCAUGGGAAGUCCCUUUGCACUGCAGAACACGAUCACAUCCGGCAUUGUUAGCUCUGCUCAGCGUCCAGCCAGAGACCUGGGACUCCCCCAAACCAAUGUGGAAUACAUUCAAACUGAUGCAGCUAUUGAUUUUGGAAACUCUGGAGGUCCCCUGGUUAACCUGGUGAGUGAGACAUCCUUCCUUCCAAGAAUCCCUGCCCCAGGAUGGGGAGGUGAUUGGAGUGAACACCAUGAAGGUCACAGCUGGAAUCUCCUUUGCCAUCCCUUCUGAUCGUCUUCGAGAGUUUCUGCAUCGUGGGGAAAAGAAGAAUUCCUCCUCCGGAAUCAGUGGGUCCCAGCGGCGCUACAUUGGGGUGAUGAUGCUGACCCUGAGUCCCAG
This 740-nucleotide small RNA is filed under the name Pan troglodytes (chimpanzee). RNAcentral describes it as "processed transcript". Lineage: Eukaryota; Metazoa; Chordata; Mammalia; Primates; Hominidae. The record is from RNAcentral.